UACGUAGGGACCAAGCGUUGUUCGGAUUUACUGGGCGUAAAGGGCGCGUAGGCGGCUUAACAAGUCACUUGUGAAAUCUCCGGGCUUAACUCGGAACGGCCAAGUGAAACUGUCAAGCUAGAGUGCAGAAGGGGCAAUCGGAAUUCUUGGUGUAGCGGUGAAAUGCGUAGAUAUCAAGAGGAACACCUGAGGUGAAGACGGGUUGCUGGGCUGACACUGAGACGCGAAAGCGUGGGGAGCAAACAGG
Molecule: ribosomal RNA, 247 nt
Filed under: uncultured bacterium
Lineage: Bacteria
Description: partial 16S ribosomal RNA
Rfam family: Bacterial small subunit ribosomal RNA
Source: RNAcentral